This 496-nucleotide ribosomal RNA is filed under the name uncultured Sphingobacteriales bacterium. Its description in RNAcentral is "bacterial SSU rRNA". It matches the Rfam family "Bacterial small subunit ribosomal RNA", at positions 903 to 1382 of the family's 1533-position model. The record is from RNAcentral. Lineage: Bacteria; Pseudomonadati; Bacteroidota; Sphingobacteriia; Sphingobacteriales.
CCAGCCCGCUCAGAAACUUAAAUGAAUUGACGGGGGCCCGCACAAGCGGUGGAGCAUGUGGUUUAAUUCGAUGAUACGCGAGGAACCUUACCUGGGCUCAAAUGUAUGUUGACGUAUUCUGAAAGGGAUACUUCUUCGGACAAUAUACAAGGUGCUGCAUGGUUGUCGUCAGCUCGUGCCGUGAGGUGUCGGGUUAAGUCCCAUAACGAGCGCAACCCCUAUCAUUAGUUGCCAUCAGGUCAAGCUGGGGACUCUAAUGAAACUGCCUACGCAAGUAGUGAGGAAGGUGGGGAUGACGUCAAAUCAGCACGGCCCUUACGUCCAGGGCUACACACGUGCUACAAUGGCCGGUACAAAGGGCAGCUACCUGGUGACAGGAUGCUAAUCUCAAAAGCCGGUCUCAGUUCGGAUCGGAGUCUGCAACCCGACUCCGUGAAGUUGGAUUCGCUAGUAAUCGCGCAUCAGCCAUGGCGCGGUGAAUACGUUCCCGGGCCUU